RNAcentral lists this ribosomal RNA (253 nucleotides) under uncultured bacterium. RNAcentral describes it as "partial 16S ribosomal RNA". It matches the Rfam family "Bacterial small subunit ribosomal RNA", at positions 524 to 776 of the family's 1533-position model. The record is from RNAcentral.
GACGUAGGGCGCGAGCGUUGUCCGGAUUUAUUGGGCGUAAAGGGUGCGUAGGCGGCCCCAUAAGUCAGUGCUGAAAUACUCUAGCUCAACUAGAGGGGUGGCAUUGAUACUGCGGGGCUUGAGUGGAGUCGAGGUAGGCGGAAUUGACGGUGUAGCGGUGAAAUGCGUAGAUAUCCGAAGGAACAUCAGUGGCGAAAGCGGCUUCCUGGACCAGAACUGACGAUCAGGCACGAAAGCAUGGGGAGCAAAAGGG